GGGACUUUCCGUACCUCACCCUGGAGAUCAAGGAGCAAAGCUGCCCAUGUGAGGGAGUGAGGAAAAGGAACACCAAGGAGCAAAGCCCUGAAGCGGCAAAGAGUUUCCAGAACAAUCUGUGAAUUCUCAAAGAACCAGGAUGUCUUCAGCUGAUGUACUCUUCCCCUUGAGUGUCACAGCAUCAGGGAACCACUGAGGCCUCAGCUGUGACCAGACGCAAAAUGGAGUUGUUUCCACACGCCAUAGUCGGCUCUCGGGCAAGGAAACACUGGGCCUUAGACAGUGCCCCUCUGCCCUGACACCCUGCCCUGGGGCCAGCCGACUAUGGACUGAAAGCCCUACAAACGGUUUGGGGCAUCCACUGGGGGCCACGGAAGGAUCUUCUGAGGAUCAGGG
Molecule: long non-coding RNA, 396 nt
Organism: Heterocephalus glaber (naked mole-rat)
Lineage: Eukaryota; Metazoa; Chordata; Mammalia; Rodentia; Bathyergidae
Source: Ensembl